UACCCAAAAUACAUACUUUUACGGACUGGGAUGACUCUGGGACAGAGGUCUCCACACCUGAUGAUGGGCAUACUGCUGAGUGAGAAGGAGAUCCCAGCAUGCCUGUAUGUCUUGGCUCUGCAGGUUACAGGGAUGUUGAGAGACAGCUGAGCUAUCGUGGACGGUUCUGAUUUGUGGGGUUCCUUGAGGCAGGCAACUUCCCCGAUGUGCAUGAGCUCUAGGACGAUAACUGGAAUGGAGACAAGUGUUACGAAUGGCUUUGGUGCUCGGCUCUAGUUCUUCCAGAAGAUGAAACGGGACGAGGCUUCAACCAAGUAUGGAGGACCCUCGCUU
Molecule: long non-coding RNA, 333 nt
Filed under: Calidris pugnax (ruff)
Lineage: Eukaryota; Metazoa; Chordata; Aves; Charadriiformes; Scolopacidae
Description: lncRNA (ENSCPUG00000015849.1)
Source: RNAcentral